RNAcentral lists this ribosomal RNA (260 nucleotides) under uncultured bacterium. Its description in RNAcentral is "partial small subunit ribosomal RNA". It matches the Rfam family "Bacterial small subunit ribosomal RNA", at positions 26 to 285 of the family's 1533-position model. The record is from RNAcentral.
AGGACGAACGCUGGCGGCGUGCUUAACACAUGCAAGUCGAACGGUAAGGCCCUUUCGGGGGUACACGAGUGGCGAACGGGUGAGUAACACGUGGGUGAUCUGCCCUGCACUUUGGGAUAAGCCUGGGAAACUGGGUCUAAUACCGAAUACACCUUUCUGGUCGCAUGGCCUGGUGAGGGAAAGCUUUUGCGGUGUGGGAUGGGCCCGCGGCCUAUCAGCUUGUUGGUGGGGUGAUGGCCUACCGAAGGCGACGACGGGUA